This is an RNA transcript of Ceratina calcarata, 12341 nucleotides long. It is a transcript of the gene named Protein tyrosine phosphatase 10D, with no coding region annotated. NCBI's taxonomy places the organism in Eukaryota, Metazoa, Arthropoda, Insecta, Hymenoptera, Apidae. The transcript has 21 exons. The record is from RefSeq and is a predicted model, not a curated record.
ACACGACCUCUCAUUUCCUACCCGCGCGUUAGGUAGUGAUUCUAGCUUGGGAAACGCAGGCGAGGGAGGAAACUGACGAACACGUUGGCGGUGUGCAGUCAUCCCAUCGCGUCGCAUCGGCUUCAGAGUAGGGAACGGGCGAAGAGCUGGUGGGAGUUCUUCAGGGCUAGGUUCUAUACAGUGGAUGGUAGGGAACGCGACGGUGGGAGUUGGCGGCGGCUGCGCUGGGUAUCCGGCCGGGGCAGUAGUCGGCGGCGGUGGUUCGAAAGACAAAGAUCGUUCGCUUUGGGGAAAAGAGAGAGGAACGAACGGAAUGGAAAUGCAGUCAGGUUAGCCGAGGGCGAACGGUGGGAGAGGCCAGGGACGAGGAAAGGCAAGCGAUUUAGCUGGUGCUGGCUCGGGCAAGCCACGAGUUGGAGCGUCGAGAGAGUAGCCGAGGUCCCGUUGCCCGUGGCUGAACCUGAAACGGGAGGAGGCGUCAUGAAAGCGCGCCAGUUGACCGAGUGCACCUCAGCUCGGACGAAAACGCGUUCUUGUUCACGUUGAAGGACAUACGAUUCUUCUGUCUGCACCCUACAGCUGCCUCCGCGGCUUCAAGGAUCCGUAUUCCUGCUUCUGGCUGUCAUGCGUUACACUCGGUUUGUACGGAACGACGUACGUCUAGUGCCAGUGGAUUUCUAGUUCUCCGACCCGAGCCGUUACGCAGGAAUCCGUACUCGAUUUCGUUAUUCCCGAGCCGUGUGUACUCGUUUCACCGAAAGUUUCACCGUUAACUGUGUGUGCUGUGCGAAACGGCUGAGUUGAUCACGGAUGUGCUCCGUGUACCUUUGACACGACGUCCGGCUGACACAACAGAAGGGCCGCUGCGUUUCCCGAAGGAAAGAAAUAGGCCAGGACCAUUGUUCGGCGAUUCGUUUUCAUACCACGGACACAUAUAAUCUCAUGGUACAUUGUUACUGACAUAUGUAUUGAUUUCGCUGGAAAGGUGUUGGUGGACACCGUUCGCGUUCAGGACGGAGUCGACAGGAGCGGCUGGAGAAAAAAAAAAAAUAUGAAAACUCGUUCCUGUCAGUAGGCACGACUAAGGCAUCGGAAAGUAUAAAACGCACUUCUAAUUUCACGUGGACACAGCUCGCCUCCGGCUAUCGUUUCACCUUGACGUUGGACACGUUCGACGUACUGACACGUUUCGGCUGAUAUUCCUUUAUAAUCGGUCCUGAGCGACGAUUCCACGCGAGACGAACAGCCGUUUCGACAGACGUUACUCUUUGUUAUCGAAACACGUGUACCAUCCUGUACCUGCAUACGUAAAACGCGUUCGCACUCCGGAAAGGAUUCGUAUUUCGCGUACGCCCCGAGAACCCCGUCGAUGGUACGAAAUACAAAGGAGCGAAGGAUAAUGGAGCGAACAAAAUGUACUGGCUCGAAGACCGAUUCGAAUUCGCUGAACGUGCUGUGACGCUCGUUAUUUGCAUAAUUCGACGACAGUAAUGCAGCCUGCUUCGCGGUACAUACAAACAAGGAUACGUGUUCCUUAGUAAUUAAUAUCUUUCUACGUUCGUCACCUUUUUUUUUUAUUAACGAUACAUUCCAUUCACGCGUAUGGUAAAAUGUAUUCACAGAGAGCCUCUACUGUCAGUACAAAAGCAACAGAAGAGAUGGAAAUCAAUGUAAACGGUCGUUCCGUUGAAUCGAGCUAAUUCCUUGCUUCGAUUAUCUAAUAACCUCACGGCUAAUAGCGGUGAUAUCUCCGAUCUUGCGACUCUCGGUUCGUUACCUUGUCGUUGUCUGCGCUGGAGGGUAGCAUCCCUCCGGGUCGUUACCCAUUCCGCUCGUUGAAGUGUUGGAACAGGCCGAGCAAAGCCGAAGAGAAGAAGAGGAGGAGAAACCUUAUCUAUUCCACAUUUUGCGUGAAACAUAGUUUGAACUCGUCUAGGAGAGAGCAGAGAUAUUGAAAAAGCUCGUAGCCAAAUAUUAAGCGCUUGUUCCACCAGGAACACUGCUGGUAACUCGAUUAGUCUGGUUCGUGAACAUGUCCACCGUUUCGUUGCGGUUCACCAACUUCUCAGCUUGACAUUCCUUCCCAGUUUCGAGGAAACAAAUAUCACAGGUUGCCGCGAGCGAAAUUAUCGCAGUCAUGACGAAACGAGCAAUCAAAAGGGUAACGAACGACAGAACUAGGAAAAAGAGGACUGCGUAAUCGUCUGUCGAAAGCCAGCUUGAUUAGUUUAGACUAGAGACGGUAGAAAAUCUAUCGGGCGGACUAAUAAGUAGUACAGCAGGAAGCCGAGAGGCACGCACGUCGAGUGACACACGACCGACACGUGGUCAUUGUGUACCGUUUGCAACAUUCCAGUGUACAUAGAGCUAGCUAGUAGGACAACGCUGAGAGGGAGGCCGGACGGGAAAAGAAGAGCUCGUUCCGGAUAGUCGAACCCGCGAGAGUCAGCUUGCCGAUGGACAUGGCAGCUGUCGUUACAUCUUCUGUUACACGCUACCAUCGUCGUCAAGGCUAUCGUGAACCUCACGCUGCCCGCGAGUCGUGCAGACAGGUGUUAUCGCGAGGCGUCCAGGCUCACCGGAUACGAGACUCCUCGUGAUAGAGCGGACACGCGGCUCGCGAGUCCAGUUGUCCACUGUGCGUUAGAGUGUCACCGAUCGAUCGAGAGACUCACCGACGCGCGUGACACGCGAGCAUUCUUCUAGUGACCAAAAGUGUUUUGUUAGGGGUGAUACCGGUGCGGAUAUAUCAGUCCUGCCGAGGAAGUAGACCAGAGCAGUUGGGGAGAGGGAACGAACGACGGGGAUCGACAGUGUAGAGUAUAGUUUUAUUUGGUCCACUGUUUAAGAUGAAGAAACUGACGAUGGAUUCGCAGCGGCCGCUGUCCAAAUUCCGCGGCACCCUUCUUCUGCUUUUGACGCUGCUCGCUGAGGUCACAUAUUCUGCGGAUCUCGCUAUUGAGAUACCAGGCAACUUGAGCCAAGGUGGCUCCUGGUACCGUUUAGAUUACAGCCCUGCUGUUGGUUAUCCACCACCUAAUACGACUAUAGCCGCUACCGACAUCGGUGACGUUAUCAAGUUCAGGGACGGGCUUCCUGGCACUAGAUACGAAUUUUGGUUGUACUAUAGCAAUAGUACGCUUCACGACUGGCUGACAUGGACCGCGUCUAUAACUACAGCCCCAGAUCCGCCCUCGAACCUAACUGUCUCCGUGCGAAAUGGAAAGACCGCGGUAGUUUAUUGGGCGCCGCCAGCCCAGGGCAAUUACUCUGCGUUCCGGUUGAGGGUGCAAAGUUUCAGCGAUACCGGAAACCCGAAGACAAGCAUCAUCCCCGUGGACGCGGUACCCUACGUGCUACGCGAUCUCAUCCCCGGGGCGACUUAUUCCCUUCAACUUUUCACCGUGUUGGACGCCAAAGAAAGCGUCGCCUACACCAGCAGGAAUUUCACCACCAAACCGAACACCCCAGGGAAGUUCAUUGUAUGGUUUAGGAACGAAACUACCUUAUUGGUUCUCUGGCAGCCGCCCUACCCUGCCGGGAUUUACACCCAUUACAAAGUUAGUAUAGAUCCCCCUGAUGCCAUAGAAUCUGUUCUUUACGUGGAAAAGGAAGGGGAGCCUCCUGGCCCGGCACAGGCUGCUUUCAAAGGACUCGUACCUGGGAGAGCGUACAAUAUUUCCGUGCAAACGGUGUCCGAGGACGAGACUUCAACCCCGACGACGGCCCAGUAUCGAACGGUACCGUUGCGUCCCUUGAACGUCACGUUCGACAAGUCCUCGAUAACAUCCACUUCGUUCCGUGUCUACUGGAAUCCUCCCGAAGCAAUGUCCGAGUUCGAUAAGUAUCAAAUAUCCUUGGGUGGUAACAGGAGAUUGGCGCCGGUCACCAGGAACAGGGACGACGACAGUAAAUGGGAGUUCAAAGAUUUAGAACCGGGAAAGACUUACCAAGUGGUCGUGAAAACGGUCUCGGGCAAAGUCACCAGUUGGCCGGCUAACGGAGACGUUACUUUAAAACCGUUACCUGUGCGCGAUCUUCGCGCUGUCAUCGACGAGAAAACCGGGAUGGUCGAAGUUUCUUGGCGCCCUGAGAAUUCGAGUACUCAGAAUUCUUACAAGCUUCAGUAUCAUGAGGUGGAAACUACAAUUGGCGGUGACAGCAACACUUUAACAACCGAAAAUACUAAGGUGACGUUGGAAGCUUUGUUACCAGGCAGGAAUUAUUCUAUAAUCGUCCAGGCGAUCAGUAACAAGGUCGAAUCGAACGAGACCAUUUUAUAUCAAGUCACGCGACCCUCCAGCCCGAUAAUCGAGGAUCUGAAGCCGACUGAAAUGGGUUUGAACAUCUCUUGGAAGAGCGAUGUCAACUCGAGACAGGAGAAGUUUGAAGUAACGCACAAUAGGAAUGAUACUGGGGAGAGUGCAACCACGUUAACCACGGAAUCCCACAUCGUUCUGGAGGACCUUUAUCCUGGUGCAGCGUACGAAGUUAAAGUUUUUGCAAUUAGCCACGGCCUGAGGAGCGAACCUCAUGACUACCUUCAAGCCGUUUUACCGCACCCACCAAAGAAUUUGAGUAUUGAGAAGGUGACAAGCAACACAGUCGUUGUUCAUUGGGAGGCGCCGAUAGACUCUCUGUACUCCGAAUUUUCGAUACGCUACCGAACAGAAGACGACCCUAGAUGGGUGAAAUUGCCGAGUGUUCGUGAAACAGAAGCUGAAGUAGCGGACAUGACGCCAGGAGAAAAGUACACGAUUCAGGUGAACACUGUAAGUUACGGAGUCGAGAGUCUGCACCCACUGCAAGUGAAUCAUACAGUUAGGCCAAAUCCAGUAUUGAACGUCUCUCCCAUCAUCGAUUCGACGAACGUGACGCUGGAAUGGCCGAGGCCAGAGGGCAGAAUCGAGACGUACGUGAUAAGGUGGUGGCCAGUUGACAAUCCUGAGGAUAUUCGCACGAAGAACGUGACGGAGAGCAACGACGUGACCAGCGUUCUUUUCGAAGAGAACGCGGUGCAAAGGGUAUUCGUUAGCGAUCUGAUGCCUGGGGUACAAUACUUUUUCUUGAUCUACACGGUCUCCUAUAAUUUAGUCAGCGACGUCUCGAAUCUGACGACAAGAACGAUGCCGCUGAUCCAAUCGGAAGUGGUCGUGGUGGUCGAUCAGCACCAGCCAGACUCGUUGACGUUAAGGUACACCCGGACGCCGAUACAGUCGUCGAAGUUCGACCUGUAUCGAUUCCGGAUCAGCGACAAGAUGAACACGACGAAAGAGAAGAUGGUCGACGACGUCGAUACUAAGGUGACGUUUACCGGUUUGACGCCUGGUAAAUUAUACAACGUGACCGUGUGGACUGUCAGCGAUAGCGUCGAGAGCAGACCCCUGCUCAGGCAAGACCGUCUCUAUCCGGAAUCAGUGACAUCGAUCCAAGCGAUCGAUAUCAACGACACAAGAAUCAGCCUGACUUGGGACAUCCCUCGCGGACAGUACGACGCUUUCGAAGUCCAGUAUAUAAACACAGAGGGAAAUUACAACCAGAAUAUCACAUCCGUGAACAUGAUCACGAUCUCCGACCUGAAACCUUAUAGAAAUUAUACGUUCACAUUAGUGGUCCGUUCCGGAACCGCGUCUUCCUAUCUUCGGAUAUCGAAUCCUGUAAGCGCCAGUUUCACGACCAGCGAAUCCUAUCCUGGAAAAGUGGAGAAGUUCCAUCCCACGGAUAUCCAACCGAGUGACAUCAGUUUCGAGUGGUCAUUGCCUAUCCAAGAGCAGAAUGGCAUCAUCAGAAAAUAUACAAUUACAUAUGGUUUAGAAGGUUCGGCCCACACACAGAUGCAAGACUUCAAGCUGAACGAAUACCGCGGAGUGAUUAAGAAUCUAAUACCCGGUAAGACGUAUAUUUUCCGCAUCCAAGCUCAGACGAAGAUCGGCUACGGCCCGGAGGCGGUCUGGAAACAAAAGAUGCCGAUUCUGGCACCGCCGAAGCCAUCCACGCAGGUUGUCCCGACGGAGGUCUGCAGGAGCAGCACUACUAUUCAAAUACGGUUCAGGAAAAAUUACUUCAGCGAGCAGAACGGCGCGGUCACGUCCUACACGAUCAUCGUGGCCGAGGAUGACAGCAAAAACGCGUCCGGCCUGGAGAUGCCCAGCUGGAGGGACGUGCAGGCUUACAGUAUCUGGCCACCCUAUCAGGUGAUGGAACCGUACUAUCCGUUCAAAAACGGGUCCGUGGAAGAUUUCACGAUCGGCUCCGAGAACUGCGACAACAAAAUCGGAUACUGCAAUGGGCCUUUGAAAUCUGGAUCCACUUACAGGGUAAAAGUGCGUGCAUUCACCGCGCCGGACAAAUUCACGGAUACCAGCUACAGUUUCCCGAUACAAACAGGAUUGCUACUGGCAGAUAAGGACAACACGGCUAUCAUAGUUGGAGUCACGGUUCCAAUAGUGCUUUUGUUGGCUUUGUUGGGCAUUGGACUUCUGGUCAGGCGACGGAGGAGUCAAGGGCGUAAAACAACCGAAACGAGGACCACGGACAACUUAUCUUUACCGGACAGUGUUAUUGAAACUAGUCGACCAAUUAAGAUAGAAGAUUUUACGGAACACUAUCGCACGAUGUCCGCUGACUCAGAUUUCCGUUUCUCGGAGGAGUUCGAGGAACUGAAACACGUCGGCAGGGAUCAACCUUGCACUGCUGCUGAUCUACCGUGUAACAGGCCGAAGAACCGUUUCACGAAUAUUUUACCCUACGACCAUAGCAGAUUUAAGUUACAACCCGUGGACGACGAAGAGGGUUCUGAUUAUAUCAACGCUAAUUACGUUCCAGGUCACAACUCUCCGCGCGAAUUUAUCGUCACCCAAGGUCCCCUGCACUCGACCCGCGACGAUUUCUGGAGAAUGGUUUGGGAGAGUAACAGCAGGGCGAUAGUAAUGCUGACAAGGUGCAUCGAGAAAGGCAGGGAAAAGUGCGACCACUAUUGGCCAAUGGAUACCCAUCCUGUUUAUUACGGCGAUAUUUGUGUUACCAUACUGAAUGAAACACAUUAUCCUGAUUGGAGCAUCACGGAGUUUAUGCUAUGCAGAGGAGACGUGAAGCGAGUGAUUCAACACUUCCAUUUCACGACUUGGCCUGACUUCGGCGUUCCUAGUCCGCCUCAAACGUUGGCCAGAUUCGUACGGGCGUUCAGGGAAAGGGUCAGGCCGGAUCAGAGGCCAAUCGUGGUCCACUGUAGCGCAGGCGUUGGUCGCAGCGGCACGUUUAUCACGUUGGACAGAAUACUCCAACAAAUACUUGUGUCCAAGUACGUCGACAUCUUCGGGAUCGUCUGGGCGAUGAGGAAAGAACGCGUCUGGAUGGUCCAGACCGAGCAACAGUACAUUUGCAUACACCAGUGUCUCCUCGCGGUGCUCGAAGGUCAAGAUAUGACCGGUCCGCCCAGAGAAAUCCACGACAAUCAGGGAUUCGAAGGCAAGAAUCGAAGCGCCGUUGAAAACGCAGACGCAAGUCCCGCUGAGGAUGAGAAGGAAAGGUGACCCUCGAACUGCGAUUCCGGCGUCGAUGACGACGAAGGAAUAGCAGAAUCAGGAAUGUGAUGUUCGAAUCCUUCCUCACAUUUGGGGAUCGACGAAAAAACGGACACUCAAGAAGUGGAUAUUCUGGAAGUUUUUUAAAGUGGUGCAAUGCGCAAGUGUUACGUUAUCAUGUUAUCAACGAACGAGAAAGAAAGGAUCGUCGGCUGAGUCAAAGAACGAAUUUGACGAGAACGCUGUGAUGAUGAUUCCUUUCACGCAGAUAUGUUUACGCGUUUUCUAAACCGGAAGGAAAAACUGGUUAGCUAUUAUCAAAGCAUUGAAGUGAUACGAUAUUAGUUUUCUUACUUGACAACUGUGAAAAUUAAACGAAACUUCUUUGACGUGUGUGGAACAUUUAAAAUUGAGACGUGUACGUGAUAGUAAAGAUCACCGGGGACGUGUUGACAACAAAUUUGUGUAUUUGUCGACAAUAAUCACCAGUUUCCGUUGGAGGCUCAUCGGGAAGACGGUGAAACCAUAGACAGUAGCUAUUGAUAUUAUUGGAUACUUCGACGAGUGACAGUCAAGUUUCAAACGAUCAAACUGAAUGAACAAGGAAAAAUGGCAUUCCUAUCUUUUAUACCACAUAGACAAGAUAUUUUAUCCUCAUUCAAUCAUACUAGGUCACAUUUACCUCCAGGGGAUUGUAGAACCUUUAGUUUCGGAAAAGCCGGGAAGUUUGCUAAGGAGCAACUUUCCACGCAACUGGACUAUUAUUAAAAGAAACUCACAAACGACGAUGAAGAUUUUAUCGAAAUUUCAAGUUCAGGAAACAAUUAUGAGCAAAAGUGUUUCAGCAAGGAAUUCUUGGGAAUGAAUUGGAAUGGUAAAGCAUUUUCUGUAACGCGUUUGGACGUUGCCGCGUGUAGAUAUAAGCCCCCAGCGUUCACGUUUUUCGAUCUGAUCAGGCGACGAAUAAAAACAAAACUCGAAUUUAACGUUCAACUAUCGUGCAGUAGAUAAGUCCAGAUUGCAUAUCUUAAGGAUUGUAAAAUGCGUAUCCCGCAUUGAGUUGCCACAGUCGGUUCGCAACAAAUCAACUUUUUCAGCAAAGAGAAUAAUUUUUUAAAGUAUGUUUUAUUUUUCUAUUUUUUUAUCAAAUGGACAUAUUACCUCGUAUAUUUUACAACAUUGAUUUAUUUAGUUAUUAGUGAAAACGAUUAUCAUGAAAUUGUUAAAAGUUAUCUUUUCUAAUGAUAUUGUUUAAUUUCAUCAUUUCCGAUUGAUUGUUAGCUUUCGAUACUUGAUGUUCACGAGAAAGAAUUGUUGAGAAUCCGAACUAAAGCUACGGACACCAUUGUCAUUUUGAAUCACUAUCGCGAGUGGCAACCAUCCGUCCAAGGGCUGUAGUAGAGAUGCCAAUUAAAUGUUAAAGCAUUGCCUAGAAUGAAAAAACGGGGGAAUAAAUAAUAAGAAUCGAGAUGGGAUAAGAACGAAUUUUCUCACGGCCCUCUUUUUUCAUGAUAGGGAAGAAUAUGUCAGUGGGAACAAGAAACUCGCAUCUACGUAGAAAUCAUAUCACUUUUCAUGAGAGUCACUCGACGGUACGUAUUGUAAAAAUACGUUAUUCACUUAUGGACAUUGCGAACAUCGGUGUAGAGAGCCGAUUCGCAUGGAUCGUUCGCUUUUCGACAUCGUUUUCAACGUUCUACCUACUUGCUGGUUCAGUAUUAGCGGAAAACGCUGUGUGGAAUGCAAACAAUAAAUCUGAACGACGAACUACGGACAAAUUUUUUACUCACGAGCUUAAUGAACAAAAUUGAUUAAACGGAUGAGACGUUUUAUGAGAUGUUGAACGUUGAACGACGAUACGUUUCGAACGAGUCGGAAGACCCAAUCGCCGCUCUUCCGGUACUUAGUGACAAAUGUUUCUCAACGUUACAAAAGACGUGUACUUAAUUUUGUAUUUGCGACGAGACGCAAGUAGAAGCGAACAAUUUUAGGUGUUUAAGAUAAACGGAAUGUAAGGAGAGACAGAUUGUUCUCAGCAGGGUCGAAACAAAUUCUCUUUAAUCCAAGGAACAAAGUGGAAGAUACCUGUUGAAAUGGAUUGAAAUUUUCACUGCCCAUGUAUUUUUGGAGAAACGUUUUUAUAUAUCGCUUAAGUAUUGUAGAGUCGUUCGUAAAACACGUGAUCGUACCUACUUGUAUUAGAACGUCCGGAUGAAUCGGUGCUUUUUAUCGAUCCGUUGAUGUUUCAUUAAUAACGGUGUUCCCUUAACGGUAAUGCAAUUUAUUUUAUCACAUUCCAUUAAAUCCUAAAAAAAUUUAAGGAUAUUAAGGUUUUAAUCUGCUCAAAAAUUGUCAACGAAUAUUUUUAUAAUAUUUCAUUACAAUCUUCGUCGAUGUUAGCCAAGGGAAAAUUGCCAAUCGAUUGCCAAACAUAAUAGAGCGUGUUUUACAGUGAUAAGAACGGUUUAAUUUAUUUUCUGACUUCAGAAGUAAAAUUUUCCAACGGAUCGAUAAGAAAAAUAAGAUCGACCGGGCAACUGCAGUUUCCAAUCCAUCGAACUUCUUUGCUAUAUACUAUACUACGCUGUACAUGUAGACUAUAUGUAUGAUAUGGAACGUGUAAUCAAUGUUUCUCACGUAAAUUGAUAAUAAUUACGAUUGUCACCGAGUCGUUCGAGAUUUAGAAAAUUGACGCGUUCUUAAUUUCUUUAUUUCUUCUAUCAUAUCAAUUUCUUCCUAUUUCAGAAGAAACCAGAGCAUUUCUCAAUGUGCAGAUCAUUUUAAUUGCCAGCAGGUAAAUUAUUUGUUUCAUUUUCUCUUUUAUUAUAAUUUUGAUUUGCUUAGUUAAUUUCUAUCCUGUUAGACACUUCCACAAAAUAAAAUUCGAUCAAAUGUUUUAAUCAGUAUUGAAAAAAUUUUUUUAUACUUUUGUAAGUAACGCUUCCGUAAAACUUUUUCUAACGUUUUUCUUAUAAAGUCAUAUAUAUUAUGAUAAUAAUCUAAUGUCGAUGUGAUAAAGUCAUGUUCACCUUGCGAAUGCGAAACACGUUUCUUAAUCUAAUAAUCAUUACUUGUAUUCAGGACAUUAAUUUCAGUUAUCCAAUUCUUUGCAUCAGUGCAUUUAAAUAUAAGAGUACGCGUAUAAAACUGCAAAUAUUUGAAUCAGAUUCUUCGUUUUAUAUUUAACUCCAAUUUAGUUAAUUGCUUCGUAAAAAUUAUAAAUUGUAUGUUAAAAAUAAAUUGGCUAUUGUAUAAUCUCUGCUGAAAAUGUACUGCUUGUAGAGACGGUUGGUUACUAUGAUCGAUAAUUCUAAAGUGAAUGUUGCGUGUUGCUUUCACCGAUCAAGAUUUCGCGCUUCGCCUGUUCCACUUGAUGAUUCACAAAACUUGGAUCUCUCUCUAUCUGUGUAAUUAUGCUUGCGUAGAUAUAUCACGAUCAUAUCAAGCUAAUAUACUAAAUAAUCUAAGAAAUGUGUAACAAGGUCCCAAGUUAAGGCGUGUAAUAUUUUUCUGUAAAGCAGCUUCUCAUCGGAACGAAAUGUAACGCAAAUCGUGCUUACAAUUGCAGAAGAAAUUUUGUUAACAAGCUUUAGAUUAGGUAGAACUAGUGAUUACAGUCAUCGCUUUAAAAGAGUUGUAAUCGAAAGAUACUAGCAAAACAAUUAAAUCUGCAAUUAGGUUCCUUGAAAAAAUUUCAUACACGAUAAAUCCCUCUUAAACAGAUGAUCGUAACUGUACGAAAAUUGGUGCACGAUUUUACCAGCUGAACAAUGAUAAUGAAUAACAGGGCUGAAACAUCCAUAAUUAUAAACAAUUCAUGUACAUUGUUUUUAGCCAAGACGUUUUUCACAAUCUCUACGAGAUUUACUGUUAAGAUGAUUUUAAUGCGAAAAUUGCGUUGUCAUUAGUCAAUGACGAUACGUUGUAACUCUGUGAUAAAUCAUGCGAUGCUCGAAGCCGAGUAUGCGAAAUUCGAUGCGAUGAAAACGGUCUUUUGGUAUACACACACAUACACAAACACACACGGGUGAUUAAUUAAUUUUUGAUUAUCGGUUCGUGCCAAUUAACUAUAAUGCAUAUACCUAUACACCUUUUAGCCGAGGGGCAGAAAUGAGCGGCGCAUAAACAUCACGAUGCAAUUGUAUGAUAAAUGAAUCUAAUCAUUUUAAUUAAUUACAUAAAAAGAGAUUGCGCGUGCGAUAACGCAACGUGCAGCUUGCAUUGUACAUAAUUAUUAACUAAGAAGAUAUGUAUAUGUACGUUUAUAUUUUUCAAAUACAUGCGCACAGGUCGUAGCUCCGUUAAAUUACUAUGAGAUGCGAUCGAGAUCUGCGAUAAGCCUACAAAUUCGUAUUACUGUUAUCCGAUAUUAUUUAUUUUCUACUAUUUAUUUAAAACCAUUAUAUUUAUAAUGAAAGAAAAUUUGUAUUAUCGUAACGCGUGACAUUUUAUUUCGAUGUCAAACAAAAUUAUGAUGAAGUAAACUCGCAGGUUUCCAUUGAGCAUCCCAUAGCAUUCAUGAAGAAGGGCAACAACGGUGAGAUUUAGUAUACAUACGUGUGCGACAAGAAAAUCAUCCAUGUAUACCAUACGUAAGCUUACGGUUUUUCUUUUGUAAAUAAAUUAAUAAUUAAUUUUUUACCACGCUGUGAAGAGCAGCCGCCUGAACGGAAUGAUUUUGCGAUUCGUAGAAUUAUCUCCGGGACGCUUUUGUUGUAAAACUAAUCGUAAACAGAAAAAUGUGUUAACCUGUAUCGAGAAAAUUGUACAGCGUGCAAAGCACGAAGAGACACAGGUUGUCUCAAAAAAAAAAAAAAA